Molecule: ribosomal RNA, 506 nt
Filed under: uncultured bacterium
Lineage: Bacteria
Description: bacterial SSU rRNA
Rfam family: Bacterial small subunit ribosomal RNA
Source: RNAcentral
UAGUCCACGCCGUAAACGAUGAUCACUCGUUGUUGGCAAUACACAGUCAGCGACUGAGCGAAAGCAUUAAGUGAUCCACCUGGGGAGUACGACCGCAAGGUUGAAACUCAAAGGAAUUGACGGGGGCCCGCACAAGCGGAGGAACAUGUGGUUUAAUUCGAUGAUACGCGAGGAACCUUACCUGGGCUUAAAUGUAGAACGACGGAUCGGGAAACUGAUCUUUCUUCGGACGGUCUGCAAGGUGCUGCGUGGCUGUCGUCAGCUCGUGCCGUGAGGUGUCGGGUUAAGUCCCAUAACGAGCGCAACCCUCAUCAUUAGUUGCCAGCGGGUAGUGCCGGGGACUCUAAUGAAACUGCCGGUGUAAACCGAGAGGAAGGUGGGGAUGACGUCAAGUCAGCACGGCCCUUAUGUCCAGGGCUACACACGUGUUACAAUGGUUGGUACAGAGGGCAGCUACCUGGUGACAGGAUGCAAAUCUCGAAACCAAUCUCAGUUCGGAUCGAAGU